AGAGUUUGAUCCUGGCUCAGAACGAACGCUGGCGGCAGGCCUAACACAUGCAAGUCGAACGCUCUAGCAAUAGAGAGUGGCGCACGGGUGAGGAACACGUGGGAACAUGCCCAGUAGUUCGGAAUAACCAGAGGAAACUCUGGCUAAUACCGAAUACGCCCCGAGGGGGAAAGAUUUAUCGCUAUUGGAGUGGCCCGCGUAAGAUUAGCUUGUUGGUGAGGUAAUGGCUCACCAAGGCGACGAUCUUUAGCUGGUCUGAGAGGAUGGUCAGCCACACUGGGACUGAGACACGGCCCAGACUCCUACGGGAGGCAGCAGUGAGGAAUAUUGGACAAUGGGCGCAAGCCUGAUCCAGCCAUGCCGCGUGAGCGAUGAAGGCCUUAGGGUUGUAAAGCUCUUUCAGUGGUGAAGAUAAUGACGGUAACCACAGAAGAAGCCCCGGCUAACUUCGUGCCAGCAGCCGCGGUAAUACGAAGGGGGCUAGCGUUGUUCGGAAUCACUGGGCGUAAAGCGCAUGUAGGUGGACCUGCAAGUCAGAGGUGAAAUCCCGGAGCUCAACUUCGGAAUUGCCUUUGAAACUGCGGGUCUAGAGACUCGGAGGGGGUGGCGGAAUUCCUAAUGUAAGGGUGAAAUCCGUAGAUAUUAGGAGGAACACCAGUGGCGAAGGCGGCCACCUGGACGAGUACUGACACUGAGAUGCGAAAGCGUGGGGAUCAAACAGGAUUAGAUACCCUGGUAGUCCACGCUGUAAACGAUGGGUGCUAGCUGUUGGGCCUUUCAGGUUCAGUGGCGCAGCAAACGCAUUAAGCACCCCGCCUGGGGAGUACGGUCGCAAGAUUAAAACUCAAAGGAAUUGACGGGGACCCGCACAAGCGGUGGAGCAUGAGGUUUAAUUCGAGGCAACGCGAAGAACCUUACCAGGCCUGGACAUCCCGGUCGCGGACUCCAGAGACGGAGUCCUUCAGUUUGGCUGGACCGGUGACAGGUGCUGCACGGCUGUCGUCAGCUCGUGUUGUGAGAUGUUGGGUUAAGUCCCGCAACGAGCGCAACCCUCGUCCUUAGUUGCCAACAGGUAAUGCUGGGAACUCUAAGGAAACUGCCGGUGAUAAGCCGGAGGAAGGUGGGGACGACGUCAAGUCAUCAUGGCCCUUACGGCCUGGGCUACACACGUGCUACAAUGGCAGCGACAAAGGAAUCAUCCCUAAAAACUGUCUCAGUUCGGAUUGUCCUCAGCAACUCGAGGGCAUGAAGUUGGAAUCGCUAGUAAUCGCAGAUCAGCAUGCUGCGGUGAAUACGUUCCCAGGUCUUGUACACACCGCCCGUCACACCAUGGGAGUUGUCUUUACCUUAAGCCGGUGAGCCAAUCUGGCAGCCGUUCACGGUAGGGGCAGCGACUGGGGUGAAGUCGUAACAAGGUA
RNAcentral lists this ribosomal RNA (1418 nucleotides) under metagenome. Its description in RNAcentral is "bacterial SSU rRNA". It matches the Rfam family "Bacterial small subunit ribosomal RNA". The record is from RNAcentral.